RNAcentral lists this ribosomal RNA (377 nucleotides) under uncultured bacterium. RNAcentral's name for it is "bacterial SSU rRNA". It matches the Rfam family "Bacterial small subunit ribosomal RNA", at positions 523 to 898 of the family's 1533-position model. The record is from RNAcentral.
AUACGUAGGUGGCAAGCGUUGUCCGGAUUUACUGGGCGUAAAGGGUGCGCAGGCGGAUAUUUAAGUGGGAUGUGAAAUCCCCGGGCUUAACCUGGGGGCUGCAUUCCAAACUGGAUAUCUAGAGUGGAGGAGAGGAGAAUGGAAUUCCUAGUGUAGCGGUGAAAUGCGUAGAGAUUAGGAAGAACACCAGUGGCGAAGGCGAUUCUCUGGACUGUAACUGACGCUGAGGCACGAAAGCGUGGGUAGCAAACAGGAUUAGAUACCCUGGUAGUCCACGCCGUAAACGAUGAGUACUAGGUAUAGGAGGUAUCGACCCCUUCUGUGCCGCAGCAAACGCAAUAAGUACUCCGCCUGGGAAGUACGAUCGCAAGAUUAAA